UUAGUACCACAUUACCCAUGAUGCAUCUGUUCAUUUUGUAGUUCUAAUUUUACGUAGCUGAAUAAGUUGUGUUUUCCAUGCUUCUGGGUGGUUCGGUGGCACAAAAUAGCAUCCACCAUUAAUCCUACUUCAAUCCAGUGUGUAUGAAACCUGUGUGCGUUCUUUACGAUAUAACCACACAUCCAUAUACAUAUCCCUAAGAAAACCAAAUAUAAACCUCAUCAUCUGUACCAUCAUCUCCAAUGUACCUGCUUCUAUUCCAUUAAUAAACCUUUUGAGCUGCA
Long non-coding RNA from Cyprinodon tularosa, 284 nucleotides. RefSeq lists it as uncharacterized. The transcript is spliced from 2 exons. The record is from RefSeq and is a predicted model, not a curated record. Lineage: Eukaryota; Metazoa; Chordata; Actinopteri; Cyprinodontiformes; Cyprinodontidae.